AGCAGCCGCGGUAAUUCCAGCUCCAAUAGCGUAUAUUAAAGUUGUUGCAGUUAAAAAGCUCGUAGUUGAAUUUCGGGGUCAGUAGAUUGGUCAUGCCUCCGGUAUGCACUGGUCUUACUGGCUCCUCCUUCCUGAUGAACCGUAAUGUCAUUAAUUUGGUGUUGCGGGGAGACUGGACUGUUACUUUGAAAAAAUUAGAGUGUUUAAAGCAGGCUAACGCUUGAAUACAUUAGCAUGGAAUAAUGAAAUAGGACGUUCGAUCUUAUUUUGUUGGUUUCUAAGAUUGACGUAAUGAUUAAUAGGGAUAGUUGGGGGCAUUAGUAUUCAAUUGUCAGAGGUGAAAUUCUUGGAUUUAUUGAAGACUAACUACUGCGAAAGCAUUUGCCAAGGAUGUUUUCAUUAAUCAAGAACGAAGGUUAGGGGAUCGAAGACGAUCAGAUACCGUCGUAGUCUUAACCAUAAACUAUGCCGACUAGGGAUCGGAUGAUGUUAAUUUUUAAUGACUCAUUCGGCGUCCG
This 518-nucleotide ribosomal RNA is filed under the name uncultured Glomus. RNAcentral describes it as "SSU rRNA". It matches the Rfam family "Eukaryotic small subunit ribosomal RNA", at positions 569 to 1089 of the family's 1831-position model. Lineage: Eukaryota; Fungi; Glomeromycota; Glomeromycetes; Glomerales; Glomeraceae. The record is from RNAcentral.